Molecule: ribosomal RNA, 578 nt
Filed under: Pseudomonas sp. EP_S_67
Lineage: Bacteria; Pseudomonadati; Pseudomonadota; Gammaproteobacteria; Pseudomonadales; Pseudomonadaceae
Description: bacterial SSU rRNA
Rfam family: Bacterial small subunit ribosomal RNA
Source: RNAcentral
CACAUGCAGUCGAGCGGAUGAGAGGAGCUUGCUCCUUGAUUUAGCGGCGGACGGGUGAGUAAUGCCUAGGAAUCUGCCUGGUGGUGGGGGAUAACGUUCCGAAAGGAACGCUAAUACCGCAUACGUCCUACGGGAGAAAGCGGGGGAUCUUCGGACCUCGCGCCAUUAGAUGAGCCUAGGUCGGAUUAGCUAGUUGGUGAGGUAAUGGCUCACCAAGGCGACGAUCCGUAACUGGUCUGAGAGGAUGAUCAGUCACACUGGAACUGAGACACGGUCCAGACUCCUACGGGAGGCAGCAGUGGGGAAUAUUGGACAAUGGGCGAAAGCCUGAUCCAGCCAUGCCGCGUGUGUGAAGAAGGUCUUCGGAUUGUAAAGCACUUUAAGUUGGGAGGAAGGGUAUUCACCUAAUACGUGAGUAUUUUGACGUUACCGACAGAAUAAGCACCGGCUAACUUCGUGCCAGCAGCCGCGGUAAUACGAAGGGUGCAAGCGUUAAUCGGAAUUACUGGGCGUAAAGCGCGCGUAGGUGGUUCGUUAAGUUGGAUGUGAAAGCCCCGGGCUCAACCUGGGAACUGCAU